This 253-nucleotide ribosomal RNA is filed under the name uncultured bacterium. RNAcentral describes it as "partial 16S ribosomal RNA". It matches the Rfam family "Bacterial small subunit ribosomal RNA", at positions 524 to 776 of the family's 1533-position model. The record is from RNAcentral.
UACGGAGGGUGCAAGCGUUAUCCGGAUUCACUGGGGUUAAAGGGUGCGUAGGUGGGUUGGUAAGUCAGUGGUGAAAUCUCCGGGCUUAACCUGGAAACUGCCAUUGAUACUAUCAAUCUUGAAUACCUUGGAGGUGAGCGGAAUAUGUCAUGUAGCGGUGAAAUGCUUAGAUAUGACAUAGAACACCAAUUGCGAAGGCAGCUCACUACACGGUCAUUGACACUGAGGCACGAAAGCGUGGGGAUCAAACAGG